RNAcentral lists this ribosomal RNA (484 nucleotides) under uncultured bacterium. RNAcentral's name for it is "partial 16S ribosomal RNA". It matches the Rfam family "Bacterial small subunit ribosomal RNA", at positions 30 to 507 of the family's 1533-position model. The record is from RNAcentral.
AUUGAACGCUGGCGGCAGGCCUAACACAUGCAAGUCGAGCGGAUGAAGGGAGCUUGCUCCUGGAUUCAGCGGCGGACGGGUGAGUAAUGCCUAGGAAUCUGCCUGGUAGUGGGGGAUAACGUCCGGAAACGGGCGCUAAUACCGCAUACGUCCUGAGGGAGAAAGUGGGGGAUCUUCGGACCUCACGCUAUCAGAUGAGCCUAGGUCGGAUUAGCUAGUUGGUGGGGUAAAGGCCUACCAAGGCGACGAUCCGUAACUGGUCUGAGAGGAUGAUCAGUCACACUGGAACUGGGCCACGGUCCAGACUCCUGCGGGAGGCAGCAGUGGGGAAUAUUGGACAAUGGGCGAAAGCCUGAUCCAGCCAUGCCGCGUGUGUGAAGAAGGUCUUCGGAUUGUAAAGCACUUUAAGUUGGGAGGAAGGGCAGUAAGUUAAUACCUUGCUGUUUUGACGUUACCAACAGAAUAAGCACCGGCUAACUUCGUG